This 454-nucleotide ribosomal RNA is filed under the name uncultured bacterium. RNAcentral describes it as "bacterial SSU rRNA". It matches the Rfam family "Bacterial small subunit ribosomal RNA", at positions 40 to 507 of the family's 1533-position model. The record is from RNAcentral.
CGGCGUGCUUAACACAUGCAAGUCGAACGGUGAACCAGAGCUUGCUCUGGGGAUCAGUGGCGAACGGGUGAGUAACACGUGGGCAACCUGCCCCAGACUCUGGGAUAACCUCGGGAAACCGAUGCUAAUACCGGAUACGACCACUUCGGACAUCCGACGGUGGUGGAAAGUUUUUCGGUCUGGGAUGGGCCCGCGGCCUACCAGCUAGUUGGUGGGGUAAUGGCCUACCAAGGCGACGACGGGUAGCCGGCCUGAGAGGGCGACCGGCCACACUGGAACUGAGACACGGUCCAGACUCCUACGGGAGGCAGCAGUGGGGAAUAUUGCACAAUGGGCGAAAGCCUGAUGCAGCGACGCCGCGUGAGGGACGACGGCCUUCGGGUUGUAAACCUCUUUCAGCAGGGACGAAGCGAAAGUGACUGUACCUGCAGAAGAAGCACCGCCUAACUACGUG